This 292-nucleotide ribosomal RNA is filed under the name uncultured bacterium. RNAcentral's name for it is "partial 16S ribosomal RNA". RNAcentral also lists the same sequence under 2 other names. The record is from RNAcentral.
GGACUACUCGGGUAUCUAAUCCCGUUCGCUCCCCUGGCUUUCGCGCCUCAGCGUCAGAAGAGGUCCAGCGCGCCGCUUUCGCCACCGACGUUCCUUCCGAUAUCUACGCAUUUCACCGCUCCACCGGAAGUUCCGCACGCCCCUACCUCCCUCGAGGCCCGAAGUAUCAGAGGCACUUCCCCAGUUGAGCUGGGGGCUUUCACCCCUGACUUUCGGGCCCGCCUACGCGCCCUUUAAGCCCAGUGAUUCCGAAUAACGUUCGCUCGGUUCGUCUUACCGCGGCGGCUGGCAC